GAGGAAUAUUGGUCAAUGGGCGAGAGCCUGAACCAGCCAAGUCGCGUGAAGGAAGACUGCCUUAUGGGUUGUAAACUUCUUUUAUACAGGAAUAAAAAGACCUACGUGUAGGUUAUUGCAUGUACUGUAUGAAUAAGCAUCGGCUAACUCCGUGCCAGCAGCCGCGGUAAUACGGAGGAUGCGAGCGUUAUCCGGAUUUAUUGGGUUUAAAGGGUGCGCAGGCGGGAAUUUAAGUCAGCGGUGAAAUCUGGUCGCUUAACGAUCACACUGCCGUUGAAACUGGGUUUCUUGAGUAUGGAUGAAGUAGGCGGAAUUCGUUGUGUAGCGGUGACAUGCAUAGAUAUAACGAGGAACUCCGAUUGCGUAGGCAGCUUACUAAGCCAUAACUGACGCUCAAGCACGAAAGCGUGGGGAUCAAAC
Molecule: ribosomal RNA, 420 nt
Filed under: uncultured bacterium
Lineage: Bacteria
Description: bacterial SSU rRNA
Rfam family: Bacterial small subunit ribosomal RNA
Source: RNAcentral